RNAcentral lists this ribosomal RNA (253 nucleotides) under uncultured bacterium. Its description in RNAcentral is "partial 16S ribosomal RNA". It matches the Rfam family "Bacterial small subunit ribosomal RNA", at positions 524 to 776 of the family's 1533-position model. The record is from RNAcentral.
UACGGAGGUGGCAAGCGUUGUUCGGAUUUACUGGGCGUACAGGGAGCGUAGGCGGUUGGAUAAGCCCUCCGUGAAAUCUCCAGGCUUAACCUGGAAAGUGCAGAGGGGACUGUUCAGCUAGAGGAUGGGAGAGGAGCGCGGAAUUCCCGGUGUAGCGGUGAAAUGCGUAGAGAUCGGGAGGAAGGCCGGUGGCGAAGGCGGCGCUCUGGAACAUUUCUGACGCUGAGGCUCGAAAGCGUGGGGAGCAAACAGG